This is a long non-coding RNA of Drosophila miranda, 1626 nucleotides long. RefSeq lists it as uncharacterized. Lineage: Eukaryota; Metazoa; Arthropoda; Insecta; Diptera; Drosophilidae. The transcript has 2 exons. The record is from RefSeq and is a predicted model, not a curated record.
GAAGAUCUUUUGAGCUUUGAUAAAGCUUAUCAACAGCUGUUUUGCGACCAAGCGGCAACGCUUUGAUAUGCAAUUUUUCUGCCAUGCACUAUAUUUUAUUAAAUAUUGCUGUGUCUGGAUUCUGUAUAACAGAAGAAGACCAUAGAAAGUGUGGAAAAAACGUGGGUUGCUGUACUUAGUCGUCCCAGCCUCUUUCUUUUUCUCCUCGUGACCGUCAGAGUGACCGGUAGUGGAAAAAGAAGUCUUGUAGAGCUGACCCAGUUCUCUAAACCAAGGUCAAGUCAAAGUCAAAGCCUAGUGCAAGUGCCAAGUGCGGCUCAAAGUGAUCAUUUAAUUUGAGUCGACGCGCCAGUUAUAUAUUGCCAAUACUGUGGCAGCCGUUCGACCAUUUGGAAAACGAGCGCCCACAGUGUACUAAAAUUUUUCGAAAUAGUGGUGCAAUUCUGUUGAGGAUUAGCACCACUAGUAUCUACGUAUUGAAACGCUGGUCUAGAAGUUACGGAUUGGUUAUUCCCGGAGACCUCUAUUGGCCACGUGCCCGUGCCACCGGUUAAACCCCCACCGUUUGAAAUUCGGAUGAGGCGGUAGCCGAGGGCAUGGACUUGCUCCUCCAGUAAACCCGAUCGGUGGGCUCUGCAAGCGUCGCCGGGACCCGUUCGACCCAUGGGGAUGAUCUGACUGACUCUUCAAAUACCCCAGUCGCCUCACGAGCCAUCAAGUGUGCGGGUGUACCUAACCUCACGCCGCAGAUGGACCGCGGUCAUUGACCCUUGGCAUCGGAAGCAGCUGAAGUAACCUGCGCCCGGUACAAUCGUGUGCCACCUUCAGACCUCGAGUAGGAACUCGGUCUCCAGCCCGGAAGCAUCGACCCCGCCUCGGAUUUAGUUAUAUUUUCUAUCUUUCUUUCGACAUUAGACCCGAUAUGCGAAACCCUGUUUUUUUAUCCGCUUUCUGUUUAACUACGUUCUUUUGAUACGGAAAAAAUUUGCAACAUCCAAUUAAAUGCGGUAUAAACAAAAAGGGAAUUCCUAUCCAUGGGCUAAAUCGAACUUGAACAAAUGAGUAGUGUAUUAAUACCGAUUAUUUUUACAGUUUUUUGAUUUUGGUUGCCACGCAUUCAUCUCAUCAUCUAUGCAGAUACUCAUCACAAUCACACACAUCAUCAUACUCCUCCACCCAUCAAAUCAUCUCAUCCAACACACAACGAAAGAUCUUUCUGCGUGGGAGUCAAAGCUAUUAAUCGUAUCGUAAGUGAUUAUCCUGAUCCAAGUAAGCCAUCUGAAAAGAAUGAUUUUCCAUAUACCCUAUUUUUGUCUGGUUUUGGCACUGACCAAGUUUACGUAAUGAAGUUUGAAGUUUUCUUGUUCCUAUGAUGAACACAUAACCUAGCUCGUGCAUUUAUAUAUACCUACUACUAAUCAUUAUUAUAGAUUUAAGAUCAUUAUACCCUACCUCGCCCCUAUGAUAUUCUUUCCCCAGUAUAUGCUGUAUAGUAAUACCCUAUAAAUGUAAGACAAUAUCGAAUAGCAGGCUUAUAUUCGGGACUAAAUUCUAUUAGCGUUAGGUUUUAUAGGGAUUUAAAUGAAUAACUAUGGAUUGCUUAAAUAAAGUUAGUUUGGAAAUGAA